AUAAAAAUAAUUGGGACUAUGCGGGUUGUCACAUACCCACAUAAUCUGAAUGCAAAAAUUGAAAAUACAAAAAGUACAUGUCAUGAUACAGCAAGUUCAUACUGUUUACUCUCCAUGUAUUAAGACUACAACCUGUCAAGAUACAGCAAGUACAUAAUCUGAAUGCAAGAUAAAUUGCAUUAAUACAACCUACCAUCCUUUAUUUGCAGCAAGACUAAAGACAAAAUCAAUUAUGAUAAGACUAGAGGCUAAAACAAGAUGAAUUUUUUUAGCUCUUCAAGAUCUUCCAUCACCAUCAACCUGCCAUCCUUUUUUUGCAGCAAGACUAAAGACAAAAUCAAUUACAAUAAGACUAGAGGCUACAACAAGAUGAAUUUUUUCAGCUCUUCAAGAUCUUCCAUCACCAUCAACCUGCCAUCCUUUCUUCAAGUAGCAAACUAGCAACCCAUAUUUCCUGUAAAAAAAUAUGUCCGUCAGUCCAUUUGCAUCAUAAGAAUCCAUUUUACAGGAUAACUUAGGACUUUACAAGAAACAUUGGAAGUCAAACAAGUAGCAAAGUAGAAACAUUCAACUUUUCUUCAGAACAGAGGGCAGAUGAACAUUUUGCAGUAAUAAGAAUGCUGCUUGUUGCACAGUAGCUUAAAUGAUUCAAGGCAAUCACUACAUAUACCAUGAUCUUCUUCAUCUGUCUCCAAUGAUACGCC
This 704-nucleotide long non-coding RNA is filed under the name Triticum aestivum (bread wheat). RNAcentral's name for it is "long non-coding RNA (TAES_LNC026641)". Lineage: Eukaryota; Viridiplantae; Streptophyta; Magnoliopsida; Poales; Poaceae. The record is from RNAcentral.